GCCCACGUAGCUCAGGUGGUAGAGCGACGCCUUGGUAAGGCGUAGGUCACCGGUUCAACCCCGGUCGUGGGCUCCA
This 76-nucleotide transfer RNA is filed under the name Chloroflexota bacterium. RNAcentral's name for it is "Chloroflexi bacterium tRNA-Thr". It matches the Rfam family "tRNA". From Rfam's summary of the family: Transfer RNA (tRNA) molecules are approximately 80 nucleotides in length. Their secondary structure includes four short double-helical elements and three loops (D, anti-codon, and T loops). RNAcentral also lists the same sequence under 5 other names. The record is from RNAcentral. Lineage: Bacteria; Bacillati; Chloroflexota.